AGCCCCGUCGUCUAGUGGACACACAGCGCCACAGUAGGAUACGGCCCUUUGGAGGCUGUGACCUCGGUUCGAAUCCGAGCGGGGCUA
This 87-nucleotide transfer RNA is filed under the name Candidatus Woesearchaeota archaeon. RNAcentral's name for it is "tRNA-Gln". It matches the Rfam family "tRNA". Rfam says of the family: Transfer RNA (tRNA) molecules are approximately 80 nucleotides in length. Lineage: Archaea; Nanobdellati; Candidatus Woesearchaeota. The record is from RNAcentral.